ACACACACAAUUGCAAGUCUUUUUCUUUUAGCUUAGAGAGAGACACGGGAGAGAGAGAAACAGGCGAGAGAAAACUAAACGGAGUCGGAGCGUCUCCGGCGAUUGGCCGAGCUCCGGCGCGUGGUAGGCCUCAAUCAACUGAACCAAGAGUAAGGAAUCUCAUGGUGGUGACGGAACGGUGGUCGUGAUGUUUGCAGACGUUUGUGGUGUUUACCGGGUUGUUGGAGCAUUUUAGAACUGAUGAAGAGAUUGCCACCAUUAUUGGUCAUGAGGAUGAUAAGAAAGCGACACAUUAUGGCGAUGUUCUUCACCUAUUUAUACACAUAUGGUCUGUAUUUUUUUCCUAUUUUUUCAUUUGUUAUAUAUAAUAUAGGUGGUGUAUUCGAAAUGUAAUCAAUUUUGAAGUUUGUUUAUGUGUAUAAACGUUGUACUGCCAAAUAACACUUUAUGAACAUUUUGAA
Helianthus annuus (common sunflower) is the source of this 461-nucleotide long non-coding RNA. RefSeq lists it as uncharacterized. The transcript has 2 exons. The record is from RefSeq and is a predicted model, not a curated record. Lineage: Eukaryota; Viridiplantae; Streptophyta; Magnoliopsida; Asterales; Asteraceae.